AUUUUGCCAUAUUUUAAGCAGCAAACUCAAUCCUGUUUCUUUUGCUUCAACAGACCGUCCUCUCCCCGGUUCCUGAUGAAGGCCGUCUGCGUAGAACCUGCCUCUGGACUCAGGAAGCGCAAGCCUUUCCUUCCUUCUCGAAUCGAAUUUGAGAUGGAGCGGAUGAUGAUUGGAAAUGACUACGAUGGUGAAGCCUGGCACGUCGUGAACUUACUCUGUAUUAGGUGCGUCUCUUCUCUUAUGUAAUCCCCAAACAAGAGAGAAAGUCUGUGAAUGAGAAAACUAAAGGACAUAAAUAGCAAGCCACAUGACCAGAGGCACAAACUUAGCAAGGAAAUCCUAGACGCUCGAUUAGAACACAGAUUUUCAGCACAAAUUUUAAAUCCCCCCCCCCUUUAAACAGUUUUAUUUAGACAUAAUUGAUAGCCUGGAAACUGAAAACAUUGAAAGUAUAAAAUUUGAUGUUGUAGCAUAAAUAGUCAUUUGUAAAAAUAUCACUAUGAUAAAAAUUCUGAGUGUGCAGGUCCC
Molecule: long non-coding RNA, 528 nt
Filed under: Sus scrofa (pig)
Lineage: Eukaryota; Metazoa; Chordata; Mammalia; Artiodactyla; Suidae
Description: lncRNA (ENSSSCG00040045588.1)
Source: RNAcentral